UUUGUUUCAUCGGCAGAUUUCUUCUCUAAUAAGGUGAGCAAUCGAUGUUUUCUUUUGUGUUCAGGUAGAAAGAAGUAUUGUUUUAUGGGGUUUUUCUCUUCCAUAGGCUGCGUUUAUCCUCCAUGUGCAAGUGUUGUGCAUUUAGUAAGAGGUAAGGGAGGAUCAUUUUCCCCUUUUGGUGUUUGGUUGCUAUCCUGCUUUUUAAUCUGUAAGAGUUUGGUUUUAGGGUGAUCAGAUUUGCUCUUUGGCGGCUGGACUGUGGAUGUGCUGUUUGAGUGUGGUAUUGCUGUGCAGGCCUGGUUAAACGGAGGGGAACUGCAUUUGGUCACUGCUGUCCUUCUUUACCCUUUAUUUUUGGGUUUUGUGAUUUAAUGUUUGUUUGGUUUUCUUUAUUUAAGGCACCCAUCAUGUUGUAUGGAUGCUGUUUAGCUGACUGUUAAAAAGACUAUAGGGGGCUUGUUUGCAGAUAUUUUAUGGUAUGAUAACCAACUGAUUUUGUGCAUCUGUUCCUUUCCAGUGGAUCAUCUGGGAGCACUGGUUGGAUUGUGGGUGUUGGUCCUUUGAUGAUGGAAUCUGUGCUACGGUUUACACUGCAUGCUGUGUGAAUCUUAUGAAUUUACGGUGUGUGGCACUUUGCGCGUGUGUGUGUGUGUGUGGUGUGUUUUCCUUUACAGGCACCAUUUUGGGUGAACCUUUUGGGGUUAAAGUGGGCCUGCACCUGUGGCCUGUCAGUCUUCCUUUGUAUCCACUGGAAUGUUGGUGUUAAUUGGUAAUUGUAAUAGUUGGUAUCCUUUUAAUAUGAUUCAUGUUGCAGUUUUAAAUAAAAUAAGGUAUUAAUAAUAAAGGUUUAUAUUUUAACUGA
Long non-coding RNA from Silurus meridionalis, 862 nucleotides. RefSeq lists it as uncharacterized. The transcript has 2 exons. The record is from RefSeq and is a predicted model, not a curated record. NCBI's taxonomy places the organism in Eukaryota, Metazoa, Chordata, Actinopteri, Siluriformes, Siluridae.